GAACAGAAUUGCAUGUUCACAGAGCCGAGGAAUUCUGCCAGUUGCUUUAAGACAAAGCAGGCACUCAAGAAGCAAAAACUAGGAUCAACUCUUUGCUGCUGGUGUCUGAUCUAUGACCUCCACUUGGAAAGAAAGCUAAAGGCAAACCAGGACAGAAGAAAAACAGAACCAAGGAACACAUUUAAGAAGAUGGCGUAGCAAAGGCAAGUGCGAGAAGAAACAGAGCAGAGGGGAGAGCCAGGCAAUGCGACUGCCAACAGCAGCUGUGUCCAGAGUAUCUGUCAGAUCCUCGUAUGAAGUCAUUACUGCUUUAGUGACAUAUUACUGACAUAUUUGUAAGUUUACGGUGCCACUGUGAUGAUUGGAUACAUGUAUAUAUUGUGAAA
Molecule: non-coding RNA, 386 nt
Organism: Vicugna pacos (alpaca)
Lineage: Eukaryota; Metazoa; Chordata; Mammalia; Artiodactyla; Camelidae
Source: RefSeq, a predicted model, not a curated record